This 1345-nucleotide ribosomal RNA is filed under the name uncultured marine bacterium. Its description in RNAcentral is "bacterial SSU rRNA". It matches the Rfam family "Bacterial small subunit ribosomal RNA". The record is from RNAcentral.
CAUGCAAGUCGAACGAAGUAGCAAUACUUAGUGGCAGACGGGUGAGUAACAUGUAGGUAUCUGCCCUUUGGCCUGGAAUAACACGAGGAAACUUGUGCUAAUACCGGAUAAGUCUUUACGGAGAAAGCUUUAUGCACCAUUGGAUGAGCCUGCACUUGAUUAGUUUGUUGGUAGGGUAAUGGCCUACCAAGACUGUGAUCAAUAGCUGAUUUGAGAGGAUGAUCAGCCACAUUGGGACUGAGACACGGCCCAAACUCCUACGGGAGGCAGCAGUGGGGAAUCUUGCACAAUGGAGGAAACUCUGAUGCAGCGAUGCCGCGUGAGUGAAGAAGGCCCUUGGGUUGUAAAGCUCUUUCGUCGGGGAAGAAAAUGACUGUACCCGAAUAAGAAGGUCCGGCUAACUUCGUGCCAGCAGCCGCGGUAAUACGAAGGGACCUAGCGUAGUUCGGAAUUACUGGGCUUAAAGAGUUCGUAGGUGGUUGAAAAAGUUAGUGGUGAAAUCCCAGAGCUUAACUCUGGAACUGCCAUUAAAACUUUUCAGCUAGAGUAUGAUAGAGGAAAGCAGAAUUUCUAGUGUAGAGGUGAAAUUCGUAGAUAUUAGAAAGAAUACCAAUUGCGAAGGCAGCUUUCUGGAUCAUUACUGACACUGAGGAACGAAAGCAUGGGUAGCGAAGAGGAUUAGAUACCCUCGUAGUCCAUGCCGUAAACGAUGUGUGUUAGACGUUGGAAAUUUAUUUUCAGUGUCGCAGGGAAACCGAUAAACACACCGCCUGGGGAGUACGACCGCAAGGCUAAAACUCAAAUGAAUUGACGGGGACCCGCACAAGUAGUGGAGCAUGUGGUUUAGUUCGAAGAUACGCGCAGAACCCUACCAACACUUGACAUGUUCGUCGCGACUCUAAGAGAUUAGAGUUUUCGGUUCGGCCGGACGAAACACAGGUGCUGCAUGGCUGUCGUCAGCUCGUGUCGUGAGAUGUUGGGUUAAGUCCCGCAACGAGCGCAACCCUCACUUUUAGUUGCCAUCAUUAAGUUGGGCACUCUGAAAGAACUGCCAGUGAUAAGCUGGAGGAAGGUGGGGAUGACGUCAAGUCCUCAUGGCCCUUACGUGUUGGGCUACACACGUGCUACAAUGGUAUCUACAACAGGAAGCAAGACUGCGAAGUUAAGCAAAUCCCUAAAAGAUACCUCAGUUCGGAUUGCACUCUGCAACUCGACUGCAUGAAGCUGGAAUUACUAGUAAUCGUGGAUCAGCGUGCCACGGUGAAUGCGUUCCCGGGUCUUGUACACACCGCCCGUCACACCAUGGGAGUUGGUUCUACCUUAAGGCAAGGUUCAAACCCUGACC